This 236-nucleotide ribosomal RNA is filed under the name uncultured Candidatus Saccharibacteria bacterium. RNAcentral describes it as "partial 16S ribosomal RNA". It matches the Rfam family "Bacterial small subunit ribosomal RNA", at positions 584 to 818 of the family's 1533-position model. The record is from RNAcentral. Lineage: Bacteria; Candidatus Saccharimonadota.
UAAGCAGAGUAUGAAAUGUCACGGCUCAACCGUGAAACGUAUUCUGAACUGGUAGACUUGAGGGCGAGAGAGGUUACUAGAAUUUCUUGUGUAGGAGUGAAAUCCGUAGAUAUAAGAAGGAAUACCGAUGGCGUAAGCAGGUAACUGGCUCGCACCUGACACUGAGGCACGAAAGCGUGGGGAGCAAACGGGAUUAGAUACCCCCGGGUAGUCCACGCCGUAAACUAUGGAUGCUA